Gossypium arboreum is the source of this 397-nucleotide long non-coding RNA. RefSeq lists it as uncharacterized. The record is from RefSeq and is a predicted model, not a curated record. NCBI's taxonomy places the organism in Eukaryota, Viridiplantae, Streptophyta, Magnoliopsida, Malvales, Malvaceae. The transcript is spliced from 2 exons.
ACAAUUGCUUUCUUUGAGCUCUUUCACAAUGAUCCUCAAGUUAAUGCAUGGUUGGAUCGUGUAUGCUGUUUGGUUUCUUAUUUGAUUGUGUUGUGAGCUUGAUAUGUUUAGAAUUUAGAAUGCUUUAGUUGAUGACUAAACUCAAUGGACAUCCCCUCCAUUUCCUUUUCACUAACCCACCAUCCCUAUCGCAGGAGGUGUCCCACGUUGUUAGAGAAGCACAUAGGGUGGCUACACCCUCCAUCUACAUACAAGCAUAUUAAUCAUACAUGUAUAAUAGAAGAAUAGCAAUAGCAAUCCCAUGAAGCGGGGUUUAAGGAACCCACGAAGGGUCACAUACAUACAUGCAUGUAUUUAUAUUUUAUAAAUAAUAAUAAUAAAAGUUGUUAAAAAGAAA